UACAGAGGGUGCGAGCGUUAAUCGGAAUUACUGGGCGUAAAGCGCGCGUAGGCGGCUUUGCAAGUCGGGUGUGAAAUCCCCAGGCUUAACCUGGGAACUGCAUUCGAGACUGCAUUGCUAGAGUAUGGGAGAGGGAAGUGGAAUUUCCGGUGUAGCGGUGAAAUGCGUAGAUAUCGGAAGGAACAUCAGGGGCGAGAGCGACUUCCUGGACCAAUACUGACGCUCAUGUGCGAAAGCGUGGGGAGCAAA
Molecule: ribosomal RNA, 249 nt
Filed under: uncultured bacterium
Lineage: Bacteria
Description: partial 16S ribosomal RNA
Rfam family: Bacterial small subunit ribosomal RNA
Source: RNAcentral